CCUACGGGUGGCUGCAGUGAGGAAUAUUGGUCAAUGGUCGGGAGACUGAACCAGCCAAGCCGCGUGAGGGAGGAAGGUACAGAGUAUCGUAAACCUCUUUUGUCAGGGAACAAAGACUGGGACGCGUCCCCGGAUGAGUGUACCUGAAGAAAAAGCAUAGGCUAACUCCGUGCCAGCAGCCGCGGUAAUACGGAGGAUGCGAGCGUUAUCCGGAUUUAUUGGGUUUAAAGGGUGCGCAGGCGGUCUGUUACGUCAGAGGUCAUAGCCCGGGGCUCACCCCCGCCCCGCCGUGGACACUGGCAGUCCCGAGGUGUAGAGAAGUAUGCGGAAUGCGCGGUGUAGCGGUUAAAUGCAUAGAUAUCGCGCAGAACUCCGAUUGCGAAGGCAGCAUGCCGGCUCCACACUGACGCUGAGGCACGAAAGCGUGGGUAUCGAACAGGAUUAGAUACCCCAGUAGUC
RNAcentral lists this ribosomal RNA (459 nucleotides) under uncultured bacterium. RNAcentral's name for it is "partial 16S ribosomal RNA". It matches the Rfam family "Bacterial small subunit ribosomal RNA", at positions 338 to 795 of the family's 1533-position model. The record is from RNAcentral.